CGACGCUUUUUCUUUCACCGGAGCUUGCUCCACCGAAAGAAAAAGAGUGGCGAACGGGUGAGUAACACGUGGGUAACCUGCCCAUCAGAAGGGGAUAACACUUGGAAACAGGUGCUAAUACCGUAUAACACUAUUUUCCGCAUGGAAGAAAGUUGAAAGGCGCUUUUGCGUCACUGAUGGAUGGACCCGCGGUGCAUUAGCUAGUUGGUGAGGUAACGGCUCACCAAGGCAACGAUGCAUAGCCGACCUGAGAGGGUGAUCGGCCACACUGGGACUGAGACACGGCCCAGACUCCUACGGGAGGCAGCAGUAGGGAAUCUUCGGCAAUGGACGAAAGUCUGACCGAGCAACGCCGCGUGAGUGAAGAAGGUUUUCGGAUCGUAAAACUCUGUUGUUAGAGAAGAACAAGGAUGAGAGUAAAAUGUUCAUCCCUUGACGGUAUCUAACCAGAAAGCCACGGCUAACUACGUGCCAGCAGCCGCGGUAAUACGUAGGUGGCAAGCGUUGUCCGGAUUUAUUGGGCGUAAAGC
RNAcentral lists this ribosomal RNA (530 nucleotides) under Enterococcus sp. RNAcentral describes it as "bacterial SSU rRNA". It matches the Rfam family "Bacterial small subunit ribosomal RNA", at positions 64 to 566 of the family's 1533-position model. Lineage: Bacteria; Bacillati; Bacillota; Bacilli; Lactobacillales; Enterococcaceae. The record is from RNAcentral.